UAACUUGCUUUACCGGAUAGUCGAAUUA
RNAcentral lists this small RNA (28 nucleotides) under Bombyx mori (domestic silkworm). RNAcentral describes it as "ovarian small RNA-19072". Lineage: Eukaryota; Metazoa; Arthropoda; Insecta; Lepidoptera; Bombycidae. The record is from RNAcentral.